Molecule: transfer RNA, 779 nt
Filed under: Bradyrhizobium sp. 09LoS41r14_30
Lineage: Bacteria; Pseudomonadati; Pseudomonadota; Alphaproteobacteria; Hyphomicrobiales; Nitrobacteraceae
Description: 16S-23S ribosomal RNA intergenic spacer
Rfam family: tRNA (bases 189-262)
Source: RNAcentral
CUAAGGAUGGUUCUUCAGAAGCUUGCUUCUAUCGAACCGUUUUAGAAACAUCAGUGGCCAACGGUCGUCAGGAUCGUUGAGCUGCAUUGGCGGGAUUUCGCCGUCUUCGUUUCUCUUUCUUCGCGGACGAACACGCGCUGGGGCUGCAACCUUGCAGAAUCCCUGGUCCUUGACUGGAUAUGCGUUAGGGGCUUGUAGCUCAGUUGGUUAGAGCGCGCGCUUGAUAAGCGUGAGGUCGGAAGUUCAAGUCUUCCCAGGCCCACCACACUCAUCGAGUGAGCAUUCGUCUUCUGGUUACGGGGCCAUAGCUCAGCUGGGAGAGCGCGUGCUUUGCAAGCAUGAGGUCGUCGGUUCGAUCCCGUCUGGCUCCACCAGAUGGUUUGAUCACCGGCUGCUCAUACCGUCGUCCGCGAAACAUCACUUCGCACUUACUAGUCCGGAUGGACAGUAAGCUGCGUGAUUUCUGACAUCGUAAAGAGGAGAUCGAUCCGAGUUGGAUCGGGCAACAAGUAAUUGUUGCGCGAUACUUCAUUAUCUCCGGAUCAUUUCGGCGCUCGUGCGUCUUCCAUUGUAGCUCACAAGGCUGCUUUGAAAGACAAGCGAGUUGUAAAUGAUCCUUUUAGCGAAGCUUGACCGCCUCGCUAUCGGAACGAUCUUACGAAGCAAGCUGGUCUUUCUAAUCAUUGUCCGGCUGCAGAGAGCGUUCAUCGAGGGCGCGUGCCGCAAGGUAGUUCUGCAGACAACAUUCUGCCGAGUGUGUGGACAUUGAUAAUGAGAGC